AGCGAACGUUAGCGGCGCGCCUAACACAUGCAAGUCGCACGAGAAAGGGAGCAAUCCCCGGUACAGUGGCGCACGGGUGAGUAACACGUAGAUGACCUUCCCUGGAGUGGUGGAUAACCUGCCGAAAGGCGGGCUAAUACAGCAUGGGACCACAUGGUUUUGACCGAGUGGUGAAAGCGGGCCUCUGUUCACAAGCUCGCGCUCUGGGAUGGGUCUGCGUCCCAUCAGCUAGUUGGUGAGGUAAUGGCUCACCAAGGCAUCGACGGGUAGCUGGUCUGAGAGGAUGACCAGCCACACUGGAACUGAGACACGGUCCAGACUCCUACGGGAGGCAGCAGUGGGGAAUCUUGCGCAAUGGGCGAAAGCCUGACGCAGCGACGCCGCGUGGGUGAUGAAGGCCUUCGGUUGUAAGUACCGUCGUGGGAGGAACGGAACCGUAACGGGGACGGAACG
Molecule: ribosomal RNA, 453 nt
Filed under: uncultured bacterium
Lineage: Bacteria
Description: bacterial SSU rRNA
Rfam family: Bacterial small subunit ribosomal RNA
Source: RNAcentral